UGUCGCAUUGCAUUCAUCAAACGCUGAAUAGCAAAGCCUCUACGCGAUUUCAUAGUGGAGGCCUCCAGCAAUCUUGAACACUCAUCCUUAAUACCUUUCUUUUUGGGGUAAUUAUACUCAUCGCGAAUAUCCUUAAGAGGGCGUUCAGCAGCCAGCUUGCGGCAAAACUGCGUAACCGUCUUCUCGUUCUCUAAAAACCAUUUUUCGUCCCCUUCGGGGCGGUGGUCUAUAGUGUUAUUA
Molecule: ribosomal RNA, 240 nt
Filed under: uncultured prokaryote
Description: partial 16S ribosomal RNA
Source: RNAcentral